Long non-coding RNA from Anguilla rostrata (American eel), 1514 nucleotides. RefSeq lists it as uncharacterized. The transcript is spliced from 3 exons. Lineage: Eukaryota; Metazoa; Chordata; Actinopteri; Anguilliformes; Anguillidae. The record is from RefSeq and is a predicted model, not a curated record.
AAAUAGUGGAGGGGUUUGACAGUUUACAGCUAAACUGAUUAUUUGCAAAUAUCAUUGCAUUUUGUGAUAAACAAUUAUUCCUUUUCUGCCACAUUGUUGGAGUGUACUAAUUGAAAUGUCCCAUUCAAUAUCCGCCUCUAUUUUCUAUUUAAUACAUUUGUAUCUUUUCUCUUUCUUCUCUAAGUAGAACGAACCUAUGUGAUCUGGUUGUGCAGCUGAAGUUUUGACUUGGCCUAAAUAUGCACACAACCAGUGGGCUAUCAUUUAUUUUAUUUGGCACUGUGUGUUUAUUUUAUUUUGUUUUAUUCCCGGCGUUGUCCCCCUCCAUCCACCUGACCUGCCAGGUCAGAGGGUAAGACAUUUCAAUGGCGGAAAAUCGUGUGAAAACGGAAAAAAUCUCUAGACAACACAGGAGCUUCUCAAGAGCAGAGGACAUUAAAAAGCUUUGGAACAAACCGGGGUUUUGUUUAAUUUGAGAAUUUUAAUAUGGUUCCACGUGUCGGCAAGGUCGGUUAUAAUGAUGCACUUUUUUGUGUUUCAGAGGCUUCUUGCAAAACUACAGGCAGUAGUGACCCGCCGUCUAUAGGCUAGGCUACUUUUUAUUCGUUUAUUUACUGGAAUCUCAGUAGCGCCAUUUAUCCCGUGUUUUUGUUUGUUUGUCUGUUGUUUUGCUCGCCGAGGAAAUCUCUUUUCCCCUUUGCUUUAUUUGCCGCGUCACAAGGGAAUGGAAAAAACAAAAAACCAUUUUGAACAGCAAAAACAAGUUAGAGGAAACUGCAGGCCGGCUGAUCCUGGAGUUUGAGCUGACCCACAACGAUCACCCUGUUGCUGCCAGGUCGAAUCACCAUCCUCAGACGCCCUUAUCGCAGACGCCCCAUACAGCCGAGUGUAGGACCUGCCUGAGUGCAGCAGCCGGUGCAGACGCUGCAGUCCGCUGCGAUUUCCACCUGCUCCGUGACGUUGGCGUCGCCCGCUUCUGUUCCAGCUCCUCACCUUCAGCUGCAGUGGGUCACCGGUGCACAGAAUUCCGCAUCUAAGUUCCCUUCUGGCCACCGCCCAGCGUUCUAUGAUAACAAGUACGGUACUUAAGAGGUACUUUACAGGUACGUUUUUUUUUUUUUUUUUAAAUCUAGCUCACGAUCAAGAUUCCUUUUUUAUGCACAAGAUAAAAUGUGUUGUCGUUUGCCAGCAUCCGAAUGUGGACAUUACAAUUACAGCGUUUUGAGGUUUUGCAAUUUAUUCAACGUGCUGAAUUUAUUGUGCUUGGUGAAGGGUAAAAAUAUUUCAAUGUGUUAAAAUUUGAUGGGGAAGCAAGACAGGAAAUAUGAAAAAAAUCUUUGGGGGGGGGGGAUACUGAAGGACGUGUUUAUCAGUGUUUUAAAGCAAUAUGCAUAUAUAAAAUGUAUUAAUAAUUUCCAUUAAUUCUGCAUGUGACUCUGGUUCACAGUGGUAUGUCUACUGAGAUUGGGGACUUGCAGUAUGUAAAUGAGGCCACAGCAUUAAAUUAGCAUAAA